RNAcentral lists this ribosomal RNA (447 nucleotides) under uncultured bacterium. RNAcentral's name for it is "bacterial SSU rRNA". It matches the Rfam family "Bacterial small subunit ribosomal RNA", at positions 355 to 825 of the family's 1533-position model. The record is from RNAcentral.
UCGGGAAUUUUGGGCAAUGGGCGAAAGCCUGACCCAGCAACGCCGCGUGAGUGACGAAGGCCUUAGGGUUGUAAAACUCUUUCGUCGGGGACGAUAAUGACGGUACCCGAAGAAGAAGCUCCGGCUAACUUCGUGCCAGCAGCCGCGGUAAUACGAAGGGAGCUAGCGUUGUUCGGAAUCACUGGGCGUAAAGCGCACGUAGGCGGAUAGUUAAGUCAGGGGUGAAAUCCUGGGGCUCAACCCCAGAACUGCCUUUGAUACUGGCUGUCUCGAGGUCGAGAGAGGUUGGUGGAAUUCCUAGUGUAGAGGUGAAAUUCGUAGAUAUUAGGAAGAACACCAGUGGCGAAGGCGGCCAACUGGCUCGAUACUGACGCUGAGGUGCGAAAGCGUGGGGAGCAAACAGGAUUAGAUACCCUCGUAGUCCCUGAGCGGGCUGGCAAGGCGCAU